AGUGAACGCUGGCGGUAGGCCUAACACAUGCAAGUCGAACGGCAGCACAGUAAGAGCUUGCUCUUACGGGUGGCGAGUGGCGGACGGGUGAGGAAUACAUCGGAAUCUACUUUUUCGUGGGGGAUAACGUAGGGAAACUUACGCUAAUACCGCAUACGACCUACGGGUGAAAGCAGGGGAUCUUCGGACCUUGCGCGAUUGAAUGAGCCAAUGUCGGAUUAGCUAGUUGGCGGGGUAAAGGCCCACCAAGGCGACGAACCGUAGCUGGUCUGAGAGGAUGAUCAGCCACACUGGAACUGAGACACGGUCCAGACUCCUACGGGAGGCAGCAGUGGGGAAUAUUGGACAGUGGGCGCAAGCCUGAUCCAGCCAUACCGCGUGGGUGAAGAAGGCCUUCGGGUUGUAAAGCCCUUUUGUUGGGAAAGAAAAGCAGCAGGUUAAUACCCCGCUGUUCUGACGGUACCCAAAGAAUAAGCACCGGCUAACUUCGU
RNAcentral lists this ribosomal RNA (491 nucleotides) under uncultured bacterium. Its description in RNAcentral is "partial 16S ribosomal RNA". It matches the Rfam family "Bacterial small subunit ribosomal RNA", at positions 29 to 506 of the family's 1533-position model. The record is from RNAcentral.